UGGGGAAUAUUGCACAAUGGGCGCAAGCCUGAUGCAGCCAUGCCGCGUGUGUGAAGAAGGCCUUCGGGUUGUAAAGCACUUUCAGCGGGGAGGAAGGCGUUAAGGUUAAUAACCUUGGCGAUUGACGUUACCCGCAGAAGAAGCACCGGCUAACUACGUGCCAGCAGCCGCGGUAAUACGUAGGUGGCAAGCGUUGUCCGGAUUUAUUGGGCGUAAAGCGAGCGCAGGCGGUUUCUUAAGUCUGAUGUGAAAGCCCCCGGCUCAACCGGGGAGGGUCAUUGGAAACUGGGAGACUUGAGUGCAGAAGAGGAGAGUGAAAUUCCAUGUGUAGCGGUGAAAUGCGUAGAUAUAUGGAGGAACACCAGUGGCGAAGGCGGCUCUCUGGUCUGUAACUGACGCUGAGGCUCGAAAGCGUGGGGAGCAAACAGG
RNAcentral lists this ribosomal RNA (429 nucleotides) under Chloroflexota bacterium. Its description in RNAcentral is "Chloroflexi bacterium partial 16S ribosomal RNA". It matches the Rfam family "Bacterial small subunit ribosomal RNA", at positions 355 to 776 of the family's 1533-position model. The record is from RNAcentral. Lineage: Bacteria; Bacillati; Chloroflexota.